CGCAAGAGUAGAAGCGUUCAGCAGCGCACGCACCACGAACGUGCGCCCGCCCGGAAAUUGCUCUUGAA
Non-coding RNA from Variovorax paradoxus EPS, 68 nucleotides. Lineage: Bacteria; Pseudomonadati; Pseudomonadota; Betaproteobacteria; Burkholderiales; Comamonadaceae. The record is from Rfam.